UACGUAGGGACCGAGCGUUGUCCGGGUUCAUUGGGCGUAAAGAGCUCGUAGGCGGCUGCUCAAGUCGAAUGUGAAAACUCGAGGCUCAACCUCGAGCUGUCGGCGGAAACCAUCUGGCUAGAGUCCGGAAGAGGAGAGUGGAAUUCCUGGUGUAGCGGUGAAAUGCGCAGAUAUCAGGAAGAACACCUAUGGCGAAGGCAGCUCUCUGGGACGGUACUGACGCUGAGACGCGAAAGCGUGGGGAGCGAACAGG
Molecule: ribosomal RNA, 253 nt
Filed under: uncultured bacterium
Lineage: Bacteria
Description: partial 16S ribosomal RNA
Rfam family: Bacterial small subunit ribosomal RNA
Source: RNAcentral